RNAcentral lists this transfer RNA (75 nucleotides) under Armatimonadota bacterium. RNAcentral describes it as "Armatimonadetes bacterium (soil metagenome) tRNA-Val". Lineage: Bacteria; Bacillati; Armatimonadota. The record is from RNAcentral.
CGAAGCCGAAUCUUUGAGCACUACCUUGACACGGUAGGGGUCAGAGGGUCAGAGGUUCAAAUCCUCUAUCGCCCA